This 465-nucleotide ribosomal RNA is filed under the name uncultured bacterium. RNAcentral describes it as "partial 16S ribosomal RNA". It matches the Rfam family "Bacterial small subunit ribosomal RNA", at positions 28 to 507 of the family's 1533-position model. The record is from RNAcentral.
GAUGAACGCUGGCGGCGUGCUUAACACAUGCAAGUCGAACGGAAAGGCUCCUGCUUGCAGGGGUACUCGAGUGGCGAACGGGUGAGUAACACGUGGGUGAUCUGCCCUGCACUUCGGGAUAAGCCUGGGAAACUGGGUCUAAUACCGGAUAGGACGAUGGUUUGGAUGCCAUUGUGGAAAGUUUUUCGGUGUGGGAUGAGCUCGCGGCCUAUCAGCUUGUUGGUGGGGUAAUGGCCUACCAAGGCGUCGACGGGUAGCCGGCCUGAGAGGGUGUACGGCCACAUUGGGACUGAGAUACGGCCCAGACUCCUACGGGAGGCAGCAGUGGGGAAUAUUGCACAAUGGGCGCAAGCCUGAUGCAGCGACGCCGCGUGGGGGAUGACGGCCUUCGGGUUGUAAACUCCUUUCGCUAGGGACGAAGCGCAAGUGACGGUACCUGGAGAAGAAGCACCUGCUAACUACGUG